This 406-nucleotide ribosomal RNA is filed under the name uncultured bacterium. RNAcentral's name for it is "partial 16S ribosomal RNA". It matches the Rfam family "Bacterial small subunit ribosomal RNA", at positions 30 to 526 of the family's 1533-position model. The record is from RNAcentral.
AUUGAACGCUGGCGGCAGGCCUAACCCAUGCAAGUCGAACGAGUGGCGGACGGGUGAGUACUGUCUGGGAAACUGCCUGAUGGAUGGGGAUAACUACUGGAAACGGUAGCUAAUACCGCAUACCAUCGGAUGUGCCCAUAUGGGAUUAGCUAGUAGGUGGGGUAUCGGCUCACCUAGGCGACGAUCCCUAGCUGGUCUGAGAGGAUGACCAGCCACACUGGAACUGAGCCACGGUCCAGACGCCUACGGGAGGCAGCAGUGGGGAAUAUUGCACAAUGGGCGCAAGCCUGAUGCAGCCAUGCCGCGUGUAUGAAGAAGGCCUUCGGGUUGUAAAGUACUUUCAGCGGGGAGGCGUUACCCGCAGAAGAAGCACCGGCUAACUCCGUGCCAGCAGCCGCGGUAAUUC